GUAACAUAAAAUAUAUUAGCCAUUCCAUCAGAUGGCUGGAGAGAAAAACUAGCUGCGAUGAGGAAAAACGAAUUAAAGGAGCAUUAAUAAAGAUUAUCUAUAAAAGAAAAUAAGGUCAAAAUUAGAACUCUGCAUUUUAAAGCCACCUUUCAAAAAUGCAAGCUGCUUUGCCCAAUGCUAAAAUCCAUUCAUUUUACUAAUCAUGCAAUCAACCAAUCUCCAUUAUCUCCAGCUAGCUAGCUAUAAACAUGCUAUAGACUGGAGUGAAAGAGGGAGAGUGUGAGGUUGAGAGACAGAGAGAGAGAGAGAGAGAGAAAGAAAGAGAGAGAGAGAGAUUACUACACCCAGCCUUUUAUAAAGCCGUUUCUUUCAUUAUAACAGGUCUUUUCAUCAAAAUGACACAGAACCUUUAAAUUUGGGCAUAAUACUCCAGUACAGUACACAGCUAUAGCUUAAAAUGGAUUUAGAACCUGCUCCAGAAAGAAAACAAACUCCCUCGUUUGACACACAAAUUGUUUACGAUUCAUUAAAAAGCAAAAUUGCAUAUCACAGUGCUGGCAGCUGAGUCCAUAUGGGUGCAAGGGGUAUUCACUCAUCUCUUUGUAUGCUGGCAGUACCAAACCGAAGUUUAGCACUGUGCAGCUGAGAUUUUGUGCAGCCAGACGAUGCAUGAGCUUUUGGAAAUCCUAUAAUCCUGGUUUCAAUCAAGAGGAUCUGCUGUUGCUGAAGGCGUAAACAAGGAGAGAAGCAGCAUGUGACCCCUGCUCCUGCACCUUCAAGGAAUCCCAAGCCAAAAUGAGUGCAAUGAUGCUGAGUCCUCAGGAAGGGGGACCAAUGACUAAUAAAUCAGGUGUUUCUUCCUUCAGUAUAAGUCACCUACUGGGAUCAAUAAGAAGCAGAAAAAAGAGUUCUCUUGUUUGCGUGAGAUAAUGCAGACAAAGAGCUACAUGCAGUAGGGAUCCACAGGGAAGCAGCUCAGCUCUCCAACACACAGAACAACAUCAAUCCUUAGGCUGAUUUCUCCAGCCCAACCUCCACUACAUUUAAAAUGAAUCAUGAAAGAAUCGGAGACUAAUUCACAGCAUAGCUAACAACUCCGUUACAACCUCAACUCGCAACUGAAGUUAUUCUUUUGCCAAAGGAAUAGACAACUGCUAUUCAAGCAAAAUUAGUACAUCACCUAGAGAAAACUGUUUCAUAAAGCAGCAUGUUUCAACCCCUGGGUCACUGCUCACAGUAAGUUCUUUAGUUGCUACAUUUUUUGCUGCCUACUUCUAUCUGUAACAAAUCUACCGCACAAAUCUGAAACUUGGGCAUCUACUCCUAUGUGUAGAAGCAACCAACAUAGGGAAACAGACAUUAUUAAACUUCCAAAGGUUGGUUUUGUUUUCAGUUGGUUGCAGCAAGUAGAGACACCAACACUGGACAAGAUGGUCUUGGAAGCAAGGUCAAGUGCUUCCUCACUCAAAAAGGGUAAGAAAUACUUCAAAAAGAAUUUGAAGAUUGAAAGAGACUAAAGCAGAAGAUGUAAAUCAAGCCAACUGGAUUUCCAGACAGGACACGCUCAGUGGAGAAAGGCUCACCACCAAAUAUUUAGUACUGCAACCACUUCAGAGUAUUUUUUCCUGUGGUAUUUCCUAACAGAGACAAUCCGAGAUAGGACCCGUCUGUGGGAAGUUAGAGCAGGGAGAGAGUUGGAUUUUGAUGGGGCUGGGGGUCUGCACAUCUGCCACAGCAUCAGCUGAUACACGGGAGUAGUGUGUGCUACGGUGCCAGCUGAUGCUGCUGAAGGCAGAGGCCGAGCACAAUGACAAGAUGCCUCCUCUGUAGGGACAUCCUUCUUUAAUUACUCUGCCUGCGGCCUCCUGCUCCUUUUCCACCUUCCUUUCCUCCCUGGAACACAAAGGAGGAGGGGAGGGGAAUAGCAACUGGCUGUCAGCUGACUCUGGAGGGAAAUUAGAUGGAGGAUCCCCUCUGAGAUGGUACUUUUUGAUGCCCUCUCUGAUCAGUGCAGUGGCCUAAGCAAAGCUACUGCCUCCUGCUUCCCCCUCUCCCCCUCUGAAAUCCCCUGGCAGCCAUACUGCUACAGAUACACAAAUAGUCCAGCAGCAGCAGCCUGAAGCCAGGAGGUGAAAGAAAUGACUCCCACUAGCUACGGAAGAUAGAAUUGUGAGAGGACAUGUGCUUUCGGACAGGGAGCUGCUAUGAAAUGCACUGGGGCAACUGGGGAUGGAUCCUUUCCUCUCCCCAGGUAUACCCCAAAUGGUCCAAAAGUUUGCUGGUUGACAAGAUAUGCAAAGCAGAAUGUGUGUAAUUUAUUGUGUCCAGCAAUAAACAAAAUAUUAAGUGCAUUUUUAAUGCUGUAAAACCUUUUAAAAGACUUUUAAACCUUUCACUGUGGGACAUAAUUAAACUUGUUUUGCUAUCUGCAACAGACCUGGCCUCCAAACACAUAAUUAAGCAGUCACAAAUUGCAAAAUUGGUUUGUUUGGUUCCCACACUAUGCAAAUAUUGAUAAAAGCUUUCUCAUUUGUCAGUUAUUGCACUGUAAUUGACAGGCUACGGGCAACACAAUUAUGUGAGUUUGGAGCUUGAAGACCACAGCCACGUCUUCCCAUGAUUUCCCAACACUGAAUAUCUUACUCAGUGUGUUCUCUACGGUUUCAGUGGCUGCAUGCACUCAGGUAACGUAGCAGCUACAA
Long non-coding RNA from Aquila chrysaetos chrysaetos, 2702 nucleotides. RefSeq lists it as uncharacterized. The record is from RefSeq and is a predicted model, not a curated record. The transcript has 4 exons. Lineage: Eukaryota; Metazoa; Chordata; Aves; Accipitriformes; Accipitridae.